AGUAAGUGUUUUACUUCAUUUACAUUAUGUAUUUUAUAAGAUAAUAUUACUUUAUGAUGACAUUUAUACAUUAUGCGUGACAUCUGCUUGCUUUAAUGGGUGCGCACACUGAACAUUCAAGUCUGGAGCUGAAGGAGUUACCAUGGAAAUGGGGCGGAAACUCAACUCUCGAGCAGCAAAACACGUCUCCCACUGUUGUUUUCACAAAUUUCAGAUUCUUCCAUGCUAAUGGCGGUGCAACAGAGUUGGAGCGUAUCUCCUGUCGAAAAACAUCUCUAGACAUUAUGAACCAUAUGACCAAGACUGAAAAUCGUCAAUAAAACACAAG
Molecule: long non-coding RNA, 328 nt
Organism: Labeo rohita (rohu)
Lineage: Eukaryota; Metazoa; Chordata; Actinopteri; Cypriniformes; Cyprinidae
Exons: 3
Source: RefSeq, a predicted model, not a curated record